RNAcentral lists this ribosomal RNA (301 nucleotides) under uncultured bacterium. RNAcentral's name for it is "partial 16S ribosomal RNA". It matches the Rfam family "Bacterial small subunit ribosomal RNA", at positions 509 to 807 of the family's 1533-position model. The record is from RNAcentral.
CAGCAGCCACGGUAAUACGAAGGGUGCAAGCGUUAAUCGGAAUUACUGGGCGUAAAGCGUGCGUAGGCGGUGAGUUAAGUCUGCUGUGAAAUCCCCGGGCUCAACCUGGGAAUGGCAGUGGAUACUGGCUCGCUAGAGUGUGUCAGAGGAUGGUGGAAUUCCCGGUGUAGCGGUGAAAUGCGUAGAGAUCGGGAGGAACAUCAGUGGCGAAGGCGACAUACUGGAUCAUUACUGACGCUGAGGUUCGAAAGCGUGGGGAGCAAACAGGAUUAGAUACCCCCGUAGUCCCUGUCUCUUAUAC